AAGUCGUAACAAGGUUUCCGUAGGUGAACCUGCGGAAGGAUCAUUAACACGUAUCCAAUGAUACAAACUAAUACGCAGAACUAAGUUCCCCGUGCAUUGAACUUCGACGUCGCCUCGUGCUGGGUUGUGGUGGGUCCCCGGGGUCCGAAAGGGCGCUCGGUGUGGCAUACUCGGAACUGGCUAUCAUUCCUUUGAGAAUGGGACGAAGAGACAUAAUGGCGGGCUGAUUUACCCUCUUUUCAUCAACCACUUUGGUGGGAAGAGGGCCCCAUACCCUGUUUUCACCCUAUUUUACCCAUUUGACUAAUUUUUUCAAUCGAUUGGAGAAAUCCUCUCGAUUUACUAAGAUUUAUCUUAACUAAGCACAACUCUUAGCAAUGGAUAUCUUGGUUCUC
Molecule: unclassified non-coding RNA, 395 nt
Filed under: fungal sp.
Lineage: Eukaryota; Fungi
Description: partial internal transcribed spacer region
Rfam family: Eukaryotic small subunit ribosomal RNA (bases 1-46)
Source: RNAcentral